This 1346-nucleotide long non-coding RNA is filed under the name Panax ginseng (ginseng). RNAcentral's name for it is "long non-coding RNA (PGIN_LNC012774)". Lineage: Eukaryota; Viridiplantae; Streptophyta; Magnoliopsida; Apiales; Araliaceae. The record is from RNAcentral.
CGAAAGUUGAUAUGAUUUGCAACGAUAAAAAAUGUUGUCUUUUAUGUUAGUAUUAGCAACAAUAUCCUCUCUGUUGUUAUUAGGUUAAUUUUUCGUUACCAAAUAUUAUAUUUUUAAUGCUAUUAGCAACGAAUUUUUUUGCUAAACAUAUAAAAAAUUGUUACUAUAUUAAAACCUGUUCAAUGCUUUGAUAACGAAUUAUAUUGUUGCCAAAUUAAAAUUUGACAUUCUUUUUAUGUACUUGACUAACUCAAUGUCUCCAUAGCAAAUAAUGGCAAAAAUAUAAAAAACUAAAAUAUUAUUAACUUAAUAAAAUCAUCCACUACAUAAUCAUUUAAUCAAAGUAUAUAUCUACAUAUAUAAAAAUAGUACACUUCAUAAAUUCGUCCCUUGUCUUCCGUAAACGUAACACGAAAAUUUGAUACCAAGUAUUGUAAGGCAGGUCGUAGAAGCAAUCUUCCUGCACAUAUUUAAAAAUAAUAGCAAGUCAGGAAAAUGAAGCAAAUAGAUCAUCAGAGACAUUUAAUGUCAAAAUCAAUACACAAAGACAAUAGAGUUACUACGUGGUACUAAUAUUAUUAAACCAACAGACUACCCACAAUAAUUACUAAAUGGUUGAGCAUAUAGAAAGAUUCCAGAGUCCUUCAACUGACUAAAUAAACUGCCUUAAACAAGAUAACAUGAAGUACAUACUAGUUUGACAAACAUACACAAGAUGGUACCAUAUGCAAUGUGCAUGUAUAAGAUUACAACAACUAUGACAAAGAUACACCUGCUCUAUGUGUCCAACUUUGAAGUAACUUUUAUGUGAAAAAAAAAAACUAAAUCUUCUAUUACACUUGGCACACAGUUCUGUAUGCCUAUUUACACGGUCCUUGAUUUUUUUUUGACAAACUCAAAAUUACUAAAUCUAGACAAACAUCAUGCAAUUUGAUACACAGUUGACGACGAAAAACUCACAACUCUAGAAGUGUACAGGCGUGUGGGGGCAUAAAACACUUGCUCUUACCAAUAUCAUUACCAUCUACCUUGAGUUGUAGAAACUAAGAUUAAGAGAGAAGAAAAAUUGUUAUAAGUUACUACGGAAGUUUCUAUGAACCCGCAACAGGAGUUCAACAAUUUGUUAGUAAGUAGUAACUACUUUACACCAACCAUGUAUAAGAAAUGAAUGUCAAAACUGAAAUAUUAAAACGUAUGCACAAUCAGAAGUUUACAUACUUUGUCAUUUUCAUGAAACUGGAACAAAGGAACCGCAAGCAAUUUUUGGUUUUUCGGUACAAUGAACUUUCUACUUUCUGNNNNNNNNNNNNNNNNNNNNNNNNNNNNNNNNNNNNNNNNNNNNNNNN